This 79-nucleotide transfer RNA is filed under the name Lentilactobacillus parabuchneri. Its description in RNAcentral is "Lactobacillus parabuchneri tRNA-Ile". It matches the Rfam family "tRNA". Rfam says of the family: Transfer RNA (tRNA) molecules are approximately 80 nucleotides in length. Their secondary structure includes four short double-helical elements and three loops (D, anti-codon, and T loops). RNAcentral also lists the same sequence under 5 other names. Lineage: Bacteria; Bacillati; Bacillota; Bacilli; Lactobacillales; Lactobacillaceae. The record is from RNAcentral.
UGGGCCUAUAGCUCAGCUGGUUAGAGCGCACGCCUGAUAAGCGUGAGGUCGAUGGUUCGAGUCCAUUUAGGCCCAUCCA